GAGAUUCAGACCUUGACAGUUGUAACCGAUAGACUGGGCUGGGGCAACGCUGAUGAAAGGCAAAUUCCUGAGAGAAAAAUCACCCAGACUUUCUAGAAGUUGUUAUGAGUGGACCUGACUACCUAGAGAGAGUAAUACAGAAGCUCCGUGCCGAUCACAGCUACCUCAUUACCAUGUUCCUCCAAGAUGGCCGCCCCUGAGGAGAAUCAUCAACUGGGCUUUACGGAAGAGAGAAAUCCAAACGACCAUCAGCAACAAAUGAAAGACUGAAGUUGAAAGGAAAUCCAUAAUUUUUGAAUGCUGGCCGAGGUCUGUGACCUCUGACUGAAUGGUUUCCAAGCUCCGAAUUCCUAGGUGAUGUUUUCAUUUGUUCACACUUGCUGAAGAAGGGAAAGGCUCUCUGAUUUACGUGUAAGCAAAACAAUCUAAACAGUAGGAUAAAAUCAUGUUGGAAUGGAGUUCUGUGUGGAUGCUCCUUUGAACCAAAUCAGUUCCACAACUGACCCUGUCAGGGACAUAUAAAUUUAGCAUUUUGGUGUGGAUACAGAAGACGAGAUUAACACAGAUCAAGUAACAUGGAAAUAAAAAAGGAGACAAUGCUGGAUGAUACAGGGGCAGCCAACAAGAGGAGAAAACCCAAGCAUUGGCAAAUGCCUCAUUAUCCAAAGAACACUGAGGUGUGGAGCAAAACUGUGUUGAAUGAACUGUAGAUGGAAAUUCUCUCCUUCCCACCGAGGAGCCGCUGCAGGUUGCAGACUCCCAGAAUGCCACACUGAGAAGAGGAGGGCUAAAAUUCUAGAGCAGAAUCCCUGGGGCAGCCCCUGCUGAAGAAGGGUGCAUCUGUUGAGAAUCUCAUCACCGCCCCCACCCCGCCCAGCCUUCAAUUUAGAGGAAUUUCUAGUUCACGCAGAAUGAAGACAAGAUCACAUAAGUGAGGACGACGCCCCAUUUACAAGUGUGAUUUGGAAGACUGAAGUGGAAACCUUGGGAAGGGGCCUCAGAGUAUGUCAGCUGGGGUCAGACGGGAACAGGAGUCUGGCUCAACACACAUUUAUUGCACUCCUGUUUCAUGCCAAGAAAUGUACCAAAAUCUGGGACUGUGUAACACAGCAAAGGAAAAGACUCAUCUCCAGGAAGCCCCCUUGUCUAGGAAGAGAAAUUGAAUAUCAGCAUAAGGUGGUGAAAAGCUGUGAAGGAGAUGAGUGCCAGGAGUCCAUGGAGGAAGGAUUCUAGCCUGGACAGAGUCUCCAUGAAUUGCAAGGGAAAACAAGUGGUACACUGGUAUUUCUAUUUGAUAACCUGUUCUCUUUGGAAUUCCGGUUAGAAAUCAAAGGCUUACUUGAGUUUUAAUGCUUUCGGGACUUCAAAUGCUUUUCUAUCUUCCUAAUAAUAUAUUAACAUUUUCUGAAGACAACAUAUAUGUGGAAAACAACAUUAUUUACUCAAAUAAUUUUUUUUGAAAAAUGGACCAAAAAAAAAGAAAAACCAACAAAAA
Molecule: long non-coding RNA, 1495 nt
Filed under: Homo sapiens (human)
Lineage: Eukaryota; Metazoa; Chordata; Mammalia; Primates; Hominidae
Description: HSALNT0316604
Source: RNAcentral